UACGUAGGGUGCAAGCGUUGUCCGGAAUUAUUGGGCGUAAAGAGCUCGUAGGCGGUUUGUCGCGUCUGCUGUGAAAACUCAGGGCUUAACUCUGAGCUUGCAGUGGGUACGGGCAGACUAGAGUGCGGUAGGGGAGACUGGAAUUCCUGGUGUAGCGGUGAAAUGCGCAGAUAUCGGGAGGAACACCGGUGGCGAAGGCGGUUCUCUGGGCCUGUACUGACGCUGAGGAGCGAAAGCGUGGGGAGCGAACAGG
This 253-nucleotide ribosomal RNA is filed under the name uncultured bacterium. RNAcentral describes it as "partial 16S ribosomal RNA". It matches the Rfam family "Bacterial small subunit ribosomal RNA", at positions 524 to 776 of the family's 1533-position model. The record is from RNAcentral.